RNAcentral lists this ribosomal RNA (593 nucleotides) under Brettanomyces naardenensis. Its description in RNAcentral is "eukaryotic LSU rRNA". It matches the Rfam family "Eukaryotic large subunit ribosomal RNA", at positions 47 to 658 of the family's 3401-position model. The record is from RNAcentral. Lineage: Eukaryota; Fungi; Ascomycota; Pichiomycetes; Pichiales; Pichiaceae.
UAAGCGGAGGAAAAGAAACCAACAGGGAUUGCCUCAGUAACGGCGAGUGAAGCGGCAAAAGCUCGAAUUUGAAAUCCUCUUCGGAGGAGUUGUAAUUUGAAGCUGGUUCUUUAGGGAGUUUUGUUUUUGGCUGCGGAAGUGCCUUGGAACAGGCCGCCGUGGAGGGUGAGAGCCCCGUAUCGUGGCCAGCAAGAUUUUCGUAUAAGGGCUAGCGAAGAGUCGAGUUGUUUGGGAAUGCAGCUCUAAGUGGGUGGUAUAUUCCAUCUAAGGCUAAAUAUGGGCGAGAGACCGAUAGCAAACAAGUACAGUGAUGGAAAGAUGAAAAGAACUUUGAAAAGAGAGUGAAAAAGUACGUGAAAUUGUUGAAAGGGAAGGGUAUUUGAUCCGACAUGGUAUUUAGAUGUCGCUUGCCCCCGUGGCGGGCGCUCCAUCUUUUUACUGGGCCAGCAUCGGUGCUGGGCGGGACAGGAGGUUUCUGUGAAUGUAGCCCUUCGGGGAACUUAUAGAACAGGAUUCAUACGUCUCUCCCCGGUACCGAGGACUGCGGGAAACCAAGGAUGCUGGCAUAACGAGCAAAUACCGCCCGUCUUGAA